CGAGCCUUCAGGCACAAUGGACUUUUGGAAGACACCCAAGCCACACACAAAGCAUAGCACAGGGAAGGUGCAAGCUCUCUUGGUCCUGGUGUUCUCAUCUGUACAGUAAUCUCCAUGACUCCUCCAUGUCCCUCCACUGGGGAGCACCAAGUGAAAGGAGGGAGAAGGCUGGGAACUGCCAAGUGGAAAGUGCGAGUCAAACAUGAGGUGCAUAUGAGGCUCAAGACGGACCCACCAUUUCCGGCUGGCCCUGCCUACUGUCCUGACUCCAAGGAGCACCUGGGAACUACCCCAAAUCACCAACAUCCUGGGGAAAAGGAGCACAGACCAUCAAUGGCCAUUGGAAAGGUGACAAAUGGAGACCUUUACUCAGAAGCAGGAGAGAAGCAGGUUGUCCAAAGUACUGAAUGCAUCUCCCCGAUCAAAUUCUUGGUUAUAUUCAAAUACUCCACACUAUGUACAAAAAUCCAUUCUGUUGCUUCAAAACAAAUCAUGAACAUCUGGGCCUUGGUUGUAAUUUCAAAUAAAAAGUUAGCAAAUUUAAAUAUCAGCACAG
Molecule: long non-coding RNA, 556 nt
Filed under: Heterocephalus glaber (naked mole-rat)
Lineage: Eukaryota; Metazoa; Chordata; Mammalia; Rodentia; Bathyergidae
Description: lncRNA (ENSHGLG00000032515.1)
Source: RNAcentral